GAGCACGUAGGUGGGUUUGUAAGUCAGACGUGAAAGCCUUCUGUUCAACGGAAGAAUUGCAUCUGAAACUACAAACCUUGAGUGUAGGAGGGGGGAAUGGAACUUCUGGUGGAGCGGUGAAAUGCGUAGAUAUCAGAAGGAACGCCGGCGGCGAAAGCGAUUCUCUGGCCUAUUACUGACACUCAGUGUGCGAAAGCUAGGGGAGCAAACGGGAUUAGAUACCCCGGUAGUCCUAGCCGUAAACGAUGGGCACUAAGUAGAGGGAAUUACCGAUGUUCUCUCUGCCGUAGCUAACGCAUUAAGUGCCCCGCCUGGGGAGUACGGCCGCAAGGCUAAAACUCAAAAGAAUUGACGGGGGCUCGCACAAGCGGUGGAGCAUGUGGCUUAAUUCGAUGCAACGCGAAAAACCUUACCGGGGCUUGACAUGGUAGAAGUAGGAACCCGAAAGGGUAACGAACGGUAUCCAGUCCGUGACUAUCACAGGUGUUGCAUGGCUGUCGUCAGCUCGUGUCGUGAGACGUUGGGUUAAGUCCCCUAACGAGCGAAACCCUUGUUUUUAGUUGCCAGCGGGUUGUGCCGGGCACUCUAGAAAGACUGCCGUCGUCAAGACGGAGGAAGGUGGGGAUGACGUCAAGUCAUCAUGGCCCUUAUGCCCCGGGCUGCACACGUGCUACAAUGGCCGGUACAAACGGAAGCGAAGCCGAGAGGUGAAGCGAAUCC
RNAcentral lists this ribosomal RNA (720 nucleotides) under uncultured Planctomycetota bacterium. Its description in RNAcentral is "bacterial SSU rRNA". It matches the Rfam family "Bacterial small subunit ribosomal RNA", at positions 565 to 1274 of the family's 1533-position model. The record is from RNAcentral. Lineage: Bacteria; Pseudomonadati; Planctomycetota.